UUAUAUGAUGAGUUAUUAGAAGAUUAUGAUUGUUGAUUAUUGAGAGUUGUGUAAGUUUUGGACAAAAAAAGUUGGUAAUUAUAGAAAUUAUGUGAAUCCAGAUUAGUUGGAGUGAGGUUUGUUAUUUCUAGUGUUAGAUGAAAUUAUUGUGUUUUGAGUGGUCUUUUGAGAGUGCACGGUUGCACAUUGUUGGUAUUAGUUGAUGAAAGAGUAUUGUUACUAGAAGAAAGCAUUAUAGUAUUUCUUGGUAUUUUAGUGGUUUGGAAUAUGAUUAAUUGUGUGACCCUAAUAAGUAAAACUCAUGCACUCAGUUUUUCUCUAUGUUCGAAUUUUCCUACAUAUGUUUAUUCUCAAAAAAAUUCUAAAAUAAGUAAAAUG
This 378-nucleotide long non-coding RNA is filed under the name Physcomitrium patens. Its description in RNAcentral is "long non-coding RNA (PPAT_LNC013678)". Lineage: Eukaryota; Viridiplantae; Streptophyta; Bryopsida; Funariales; Funariaceae. The record is from RNAcentral.